GACGAACGCUGGCGGCGUGCUUAACACAUGCAAGUCGAACGGAAAGGCCCUGCUUUUGUGGGGUGCUCGAGUGGCGAACGGGUGAGUAACACGUGAGUAACCUGCCCUUGACUUUGGGAUAACUUCAGGAAACUGGGGCUAAUACCGGAUAGGAGCUCCUGCUGCAUGGUGGGGGUUGGAAAGUUUCGGCGGGUGGGGAUGGACUCGCGGCUUAUCGGCUUGUUGGUGGGGUAGUGGCUUACCAAGGCUUUGACGGGUAGCCGGCCUGAGAGCGUGACCGGCCACAUUGGGACUGAGAUACGGCCCAGACUCCUACGUGAGGCAGCAGUGGGGAAUAUUGCCCAAUGGGCGGAAGCCUGAUGCAGCAACGCCGCGUGCGUGAUGACGUCCUUCGGGUUGUAAACCGCUUUCACCUGUGACGAAGCGUGAGUGACGGUACUGGGUAAAGAAGCACCGGCUAACUACGUG
Molecule: ribosomal RNA, 468 nt
Filed under: uncultured bacterium
Lineage: Bacteria
Description: partial 16S ribosomal RNA
Rfam family: Bacterial small subunit ribosomal RNA
Source: RNAcentral